GCGUGAGUGAUGAAGGCCUUCGGGUUGUAAAGCGUCUUUCGACCGGGACGAUAAUGACGGUACCGGAAGAAGAAGCCCCGGCUAACUUCGUGCCAGCAGCCGCGGUAAUACGUAGGGGGCAAGCGUUGUUCGGAAUUACUGGGCGUAAAGAGUGUGUAGGCGGUGCUCUAAGUUUGGUGUGAAAUCUCCGGGCUUAACUCGGAGGGUGCGCCCGAAACUGGAGUGCUCGAGUGUGGGAGAGGAGAGUGGAAUUCCCGGUGUAGCGGUGAAAUGCGUAGAUAUCAGGAGGAACACCUGUGGUGAAAGCGGCUUUCUGGACCAUUACUGACGCUGAGACACGAAAGCGUGGGUAGCAAACAGGAUUAGAUACCCUGGUAGUCCACGCCCUAAACGAUGCAUGCUUGGUGU
RNAcentral lists this ribosomal RNA (408 nucleotides) under uncultured Acidobacteriota bacterium. RNAcentral describes it as "bacterial SSU rRNA". It matches the Rfam family "Bacterial small subunit ribosomal RNA", at positions 399 to 823 of the family's 1533-position model. The record is from RNAcentral. Lineage: Bacteria; Pseudomonadati; Acidobacteriota.